This 114-nucleotide ribosomal RNA is filed under the name Salvator merianae (Argentine black and white tegu). The record is from RNAcentral. Lineage: Eukaryota; Metazoa; Chordata; Lepidosauria; Squamata; Teiidae.
AUUCAGUCUCAUAAUAUCGGCUACCCCCAGAUGAUCAUCUUGGAAGCUAAGUGGGGUGAGUCCUGGUUUGCACUUGGAUGGGAGACUGCAAAGGAAUCCCAGGUAGGCUGGGUU